GUGGGGAAUUUUGCGCAAUGGGCGAAAGCCUGACGCAGCAACGCCGCGUGAGUGAUGAAGGCUUUCGGGUCGUAAAGCUCUGUCAGGGGGAAAGAAGUGUAAUGUGGCUAAUAUCCAUGUUACUUGACGGUACCCCCAAAGGAAGCACCGGCUAACUCCGUGCCAGCAGCCGCGGUAAUACGGAGGGUGCGAGCGUUGUUCGGAUUUAUUGGGCGUAAAGCGCGUGUAGGCGGUUUGUUAAGUCUGAUGUGAAAGCCCCGGGCUCAACCUGGGAAGUGCAUUGGAUACUGGCAGACUUGAAUACGGGAGAGGGUAGUGGAAUUCCUGGUGUAGGAGUGAAAUCCGUAGAUAUCAGGAGGAACACCGGUGGCGAAGGCGGCUGCCUGGACCGAUAUUGACGCUGAGACGCGAAAGCGUGGGUAGCAAACAGGAUUAGAAACCCGAGUAGUCC
RNAcentral lists this ribosomal RNA (451 nucleotides) under uncultured bacterium. Its description in RNAcentral is "bacterial SSU rRNA". It matches the Rfam family "Bacterial small subunit ribosomal RNA", at positions 354 to 796 of the family's 1533-position model. The record is from RNAcentral.